UGAGCCAGUAGUCUAUUAAGGAUGUAGCGUUGAAGGUGCUAUGGUGACUCUAGGGUCCUGGCUUAG
This 66-nucleotide transfer RNA is filed under the name Barbatia virescens. RNAcentral describes it as "tRNA-Phe". The record is from RNAcentral. Lineage: Eukaryota; Metazoa; Mollusca; Bivalvia; Arcoida; Arcidae.